UAAUCCAGAAUGGCCUUGCACUGGCAUUGGCCAGCUUGCUCAGCACUCAUGGGCAGCAUCCCACCUACCAGKGCCCAUGGACUUKUAURUGUCCUGUUUGUUUAAAUGCUGCCUAGCCUGAUCCUCCUCUACCAAGGGUCCCUGCCCCAUUCAGCAGUGGGCCCACAUUUUUCUUUCACUGCUGAUAGACCUAUAGAAGCCCUUCUUGCUGCCCUCCACAUCCCUUGCCAGAUUCAACUCCAGACUUGUUCUUGCUCAGUGAAAAAAGACUAAGCGGCUGCAAAUGAGAUCUCUCUGAGACCAAUGCCCCAAAGUCCCGCUCUCGCCUGUCCGCGGCAGGGGGUCGCCCCGCAGCCCCCGGCCCGCCCGCUGCGGGG
Molecule: long non-coding RNA, 377 nt
Filed under: Apteryx rowi (Okarito brown kiwi)
Lineage: Eukaryota; Metazoa; Chordata; Aves; Apterygiformes; Apterygidae
Description: lncRNA (ENSARWG00000001224.1)
Source: RNAcentral